GUACACCUCAUUUAAAGCGGCAGCGCGGAGAGCACAGGAACCCAUCUCUUCCUCAAUACUGCAAGUUAAAGGGAAAAUAAACAUGAAUGACCAUCAAAAGAUGGGCGUGUUGACUGUGUUUGGAGCGCGACCUGAUUGGCUGGUUGAGCUGAGCUGUUUUGACUGAUUCGUAUGGUGAGACGCUUCAAAACAAAAGUCUUUUAGUUAGCGAAUGAGCAAACUAAAAGGAUCUGUAGCAGGUGCCAAAGUAAUAUGCUGAAAACAGUCAUGUCAGCUAUAGUAACAGGCCUGUGGAGCAUUUGACAGUGAGUCUUAUUCCGAAGAAAGAGCCAAGAAGGUCCGAAGAAAGCGAAAAGGCCACUGGUAGGAAAGAAUGAGCGCAAAUGAGAGAUCAUGAAAUACUAAUAGACACCCUUGCGCCAUCUGCUGGCCAAAAUUAUUAAUAAGAUAAAUUAUUCAGUGUAUCUUUAUUUUAUAUAAAAUAUUACAUAUGAUCAUUUUAACAUGUUAUGUAACACAGAAACAAUGUAAUUCAAGAAACGAAAGCAAUCUUUUUUGUUUUUUAUUUUGUUGUUGGGACCAUGACAUAUUACUUUUUUCUAUAGGGACAUAAUGAAUUGCAUGUUCACAAACUUUUUAAAAGAGCAAAACCAAAACCGAAUAUAGAUGCUAAAAAAAUAAAUACUGGAAAUGAAAA
Carassius carassius (crucian carp) is the source of this 697-nucleotide long non-coding RNA. RefSeq lists it as uncharacterized. The transcript is spliced from 2 exons. The record is from RefSeq and is a predicted model, not a curated record. Lineage: Eukaryota; Metazoa; Chordata; Actinopteri; Cypriniformes; Cyprinidae.